Molecule: ribosomal RNA, 335 nt
Filed under: Eriauchenus sp. 13 HMW-2014
Lineage: Eukaryota; Metazoa; Arthropoda; Arachnida; Araneae; Archaeidae
Description: bacterial SSU rRNA
Rfam family: Eukaryotic small subunit ribosomal RNA
Source: RNAcentral
GGCGCCUCCAGCGCGCCUCGGUUCGCCCGGCCCGAGAGGGUCGGGGAAUCGCCGAACGGACGUCGUGCUGGGGACUGGGGAUUGGAACUGUUCCCCUCGAACGAGGAAUACCAAGUAAGCGCGAGUCACCAUCUCGCUCUGAUUACGUCCCUGCCCUUUGUACACACCGCCCGUCGCUACUACCGAUCGAACGUCGAGGUGAGGCCGUCGGACCGGAACCUCGCCGUGCCCCGCGCGGCGGCCCGUUUUCCGCGGGCCCCGCGCGGCCGGCGCGGAUUCGGAAAGUCGUCCGAACCCCGGCGCUUAGAGGAAGUAAAAGUCGUAACAAGGUAUCC